RNAcentral lists this transfer RNA (73 nucleotides) under Pascua guehoae. RNAcentral describes it as "tRNA-Pro". It matches the Rfam family "tRNA". From Rfam's summary of the family: Transfer RNA (tRNA) molecules are approximately 80 nucleotides in length. Their secondary structure includes four short double-helical elements and three loops (D, anti-codon, and T loops). The record is from RNAcentral. Lineage: Eukaryota; Fungi; Basidiomycota; Tremellomycetes; Trichosporonales; Trichosporonaceae.
CAGAUGGAAGUCCAAAUGGCAGGAUGCCUAUUUUGGGUAUAGGAGGUUGUAGGUUCGAGUCCUACUCAUCUGA